AAAUCACUCUCACCCAUUUGGAUAAGAUCAAUUGUAGUUUUUUUAUAAGUUUAAUAUCUGAUACAUCCUCUAUCUAAGGACAAUAUAUUAAAUGGAUUUUUGGAGCUGGGAUUCAGAAGAGGAGCUUGCUCCAUCCGCUCUGCCCAUCGACCUGGUAUAGCAGUACAUCCAGGAACGGUGCACCUCCC
This is a small nuclear RNA of Suncus etruscus (white-toothed pygmy shrew), 188 nucleotides long. RefSeq annotates it as U2 spliceosomal RNA. The record is from RefSeq and is a predicted model, not a curated record. Lineage: Eukaryota; Metazoa; Chordata; Mammalia; Eulipotyphla; Soricidae. The transcript has a single exon.